UGGAUUUCCCCCGGCUGUCAGCUGCUCCAUCUCAGCCUAUCCUGGAAAAUGAGAAAGACGCGUCUCAGCCGCUUUGUAGCUCAGCCCUGCGUUACUAAGCCCUUGGCCAUCUCUUAACUACUGAGCGGCGAUCGGAGUUCACGGCCAUUCUACCCCAAGCAAGCGGUGGAUUGACUUGAAUUAUUUUCUUUGCAAAGUCUUGCUUUCGCAAGAGAGCUCAAUGAGUCCACUAAUUAAAAUUCCUUCGUCACAAACCUGCUUUAAUAAAUCACGGACUUCUUUUCCAAGGACUUGUCCAUAACCCCAGUGCACACUUGGUCUCCUGCCGCACUAAAACCCUUCAUCUUGUUUUAGCCCUACAUCUUAGGAGGUUAUCUGCAGUGGGUUUUGAUAACGAGCUCUGGUACAUACUGAUGAUUGUGGUGACGCAAAUGAGGUUUGCACUUGGCAUCGUGCGCUGGCACGAGUGACUUACAGUAAAAGCAAGGAACGCUUUGGAAGGACGAGCUGCAAUGUCACCCUCUGAAUGAAGAACUUGGAGUUUCUCAUGGUGAAUUGACAUGUCUUAAGAUCACAAUGCUAGUGGGUAGAAGAGCCAGGAUUUUAAACCCAGAAUUUCUGACUCCUAUAAAGUAUUAUAAAGGUCAUAAGAAGAAAGCAGUGGUUCAUCUGUGGAACGGGUACAGAAUCUGAUGACUGUGGGAGAAAACUAUAUGCCAUCUGAGGCUCUGGGGCCAAG
Long non-coding RNA from Dromiciops gliroides (monito del monte), 739 nucleotides. RefSeq lists it as uncharacterized. NCBI's taxonomy places the organism in Eukaryota, Metazoa, Chordata, Mammalia, Microbiotheria, Microbiotheriidae. The transcript has 3 exons. The record is from RefSeq and is a predicted model, not a curated record.